Molecule: long non-coding RNA, 877 nt
Organism: Hypanus sabinus (Atlantic stingray)
Lineage: Eukaryota; Metazoa; Chordata; Chondrichthyes; Myliobatiformes; Dasyatidae
Exons: 6
Source: RefSeq, a predicted model, not a curated record
UGAAGUUUCCAAUGGUGUUGCUCAACCCAGUGCCUCCACCAGAUUGUUUGUUGUUCCAGAUUCCAGCGUCUGCAGUCCCUUCCAUCCCUGUCUUUGAAAUCUGAUAUCAAGUGAUUUGGAAGAGAAAUGGGUGAUCCCCAGCCAGAGAGGUUUAAUCAGACCUUGAUAGACAUGCUCGGAACCUUGGAAAUCAGCAAAAGAACACAUGAAGUCAACAUAUUGGACAUCUAGUCCACUGCUACAACUGUACCAGAAAUGAAGCUACCAGCAGAGACGAAGAGAGAAGACGCUGGAACGGGACCGUGACCCAACGAAGCCCGGGGAGAUCGAAGGAGGAUCAGUGAAGGGAAACCGGUGGAUGGGAUUCUGUUGAAGACCCUGACCUGGAGUUACACUCAGACUUCAGCUCUUCGCUGUGGUGGGACCUGCUCCCGGGGUUUCGUGGCCUAGUGGUCAGGCUGAUUCUAUGUCGAUGCCACUGACUGAGGUGUCACAGGAGAAAACGGAACAUUAGAAACAGCGGAUCAGCUGUCAGAGGCUGUGUACUUGGAAUGGGACCCGCUCUCAGUGCCUCACAACUGGCUGCUUUUUGAUAUGCCAAGGACACAACCUGGAUAACUAGGGUGCCUUCUGGGUGCUGGAUUUCUGUGGCUCUGGAGUCGGGCUGAUUCAAUGCCAGUGUCCCUGACUAAAGUGUCGUAGGAGAACAUGGAAAAUUGGGAGCAGCGGGUUAGCUGCCAUGGGCCGUGUGCCCAGAGACCUGAGCCUUUCCGAUGCUGAUUCUCUGGGCACAGAGCUCGGGGAAAGCGACGCUACAGACUUUUAACAUCAUAAAUCAACGAGUUCUUUGUUAUGUCUCCCCUCUCGCUAUGAAACA